UACGUAGGAGACGAGCGUUGUCCGGAGUUACUGGGCGUAAAGGGUGCGCAGGUGGCGGCGCGCGUGGGGGGUGAAAUCGCCCGGCUUAACUGGGCGGGGGCCUUCCAGACGGCGUGGCUUGAGCAGCGGAGGGGGACGUGGAAUUCCGGGUGGAGCGGUGAAAUGCGUAGAGAUCAGGAAGAACACCCGUGGCGAAGGCGGCCCACUGGGCCGGUACUGACGCUGGAGGCGCGAAGGCGUGGGGAGCGAACGGG
RNAcentral lists this ribosomal RNA (254 nucleotides) under uncultured bacterium. RNAcentral describes it as "partial 16S ribosomal RNA". It matches the Rfam family "Bacterial small subunit ribosomal RNA", at positions 524 to 776 of the family's 1533-position model. The record is from RNAcentral.